GAUGAACGCUAGCGGGAGGCUUAACACAUGCAAGUCGAGGGGCAUCACGAGGUAGCAAUACUUUGGUGGCGACCGGCGCACGGGUGAGUAACACGUAUGCAACCUUCCCUGUACAGGGGGAUAACCCGGAGAAAUUCGGACUAAUACCCCAUGAUGAUAUUAUGGGGCAUCCUUUAAUAUUUAAAGCUCUGGCGGUACAGGAUGGGCAUGCGCGACAUUAGCUAGUUGGUAAGGUAACGGCUUACCAAGGCGACGAUGUUUAGGGGACCUGAGAGGGUUGUCCCCCACACUGGUACUGAGACACGGACCAGACUCCUACGGGAGGCAGCAGUGAGGAAUAUUGGUCAAUGGGCGGAAGCCUGAACCAGCCAUCCCGCGUGCAGGAAGACGGCCCUAUGGGUUGUAAACUGCUUUUCCAGGGGGAGAAACUUUCCGAUGCAUCGGGAUUUGACGGUACCCUGGGAAUAAGCAUCGGCUAACUCCGUG
RNAcentral lists this ribosomal RNA (486 nucleotides) under uncultured bacterium. RNAcentral describes it as "bacterial SSU rRNA". It matches the Rfam family "Bacterial small subunit ribosomal RNA", at positions 28 to 507 of the family's 1533-position model. The record is from RNAcentral.